UAAUCGUAGAUAGAAACUGACCUGGCUUACGCCGGUCUGAACUCAGAUCACGUAGGAUUUUAAUGGUCGAACAGACCAACCCUUAGGAG
This 89-nucleotide ribosomal RNA is filed under the name Acanthaster planci (crown-of-thorns starfish). RNAcentral describes it as "partial 16S ribosomal RNA". The record is from RNAcentral. Lineage: Eukaryota; Metazoa; Echinodermata; Asteroidea; Valvatida; Acanthasteridae.